GGGGUUUACAGGAGAGACAGCCGUUCAGUGCAGAACAUGUCGCACAUCCUGCAUGACAGCUGUUUCCCACUGGAUCACUACCUGUCGCAGGUUUAGAGUUCAUCCAGUCAACAGAGACGCGUCACGUCACACCCAAAAUCUAACGAGGACGUGUUUGAAUGAGUUGGUGAAGGGCUCCAUAAUAUUCCUUCAGUUGGGUCCAUGCAAAGACUGCAGCAGUGAAGUGUAGAAAUGUUUUCUUCCAGGAAAAAUCCAGUGUGCAUUCCAUGAGUUCACAUAAGUUGGCAGGACGGCGUGGAGAAAGCAAACAAGAGAGAAGCCAUCAUAAGAUAGUUGAGUCUCAAACAAAUCCAAGGUUUGGGAUGUACCCCACCUCUGGUCAAUCUAUCCCUGAAAAUCGGCACCAACACCCUCAGCAGCAGCAACCCUGCAAGAAAUUAGCAGCAAUGUAAAAUAAAUGGAUGAAUAAAUGUAUUGUUCAUUAGAAAACCUGA
Molecule: long non-coding RNA, 494 nt
Organism: Girardinichthys multiradiatus
Lineage: Eukaryota; Metazoa; Chordata; Actinopteri; Cyprinodontiformes; Goodeidae
Exons: 3
Source: RefSeq, a predicted model, not a curated record